This 1056-nucleotide long non-coding RNA is filed under the name Ananas comosus (pineapple). Its description in RNAcentral is "long non-coding RNA (ACOM_LNC024930)". Lineage: Eukaryota; Viridiplantae; Streptophyta; Magnoliopsida; Poales; Bromeliaceae. The record is from RNAcentral.
UCAUCAAAAAAUUAAAAUAUUUAUCAUCUUACAUUAUAUAUAUAUAUAUAAAAUAAAAUAUAAAUAUAAAUAUAUAUUUUUUAAUUGCAUGCGCUAUGGAUCGGCAUUAAACACACGAUCAAGAAGUGUCCACAUCGAACAUGUGUCCGACACAGAAGCAUACAUGUCCGACACGAACACGUGAGGCGUAUAGUUGUGCCUUUAAUACAUAGGAAAUUAGGGGCGUGUUUGGUUCGAAGUUGGAAUCGAAAUCAGAAUCGAAAUCGAAAUAAGCUGGAAUCGAAAUCCAAAUUACUCAUUACCUAAUUCUGUUUGGUUCAUCACCUGAAUCAGAAUCAGAAUAAAUCAUUCACAUUGUCGGUGUUUGGUUCAGGUAAAUAUAAAAAGCGUAAUCAUAUUAAUAUAUUAACUUUAUCAUUAUAAUAUAUUAAUUUAAAUUCAAAUUAAAAAUUAAAUAUUAAAAAUUUACAUCAAAUUUUUGAAAUAAUGUCAAAAUUUUAAAUCUAUUUUUAAAAAAAAUUUGAAUUUGAGUGGAUAAUUCAAAAUAUAAAAUUAAAUUUCGAUUUAUUCAAAUUCAAACUUACAAUUUAAAUUUUAAUUUGAAUCCACAAAUUUAAUUUAAUUUUUAAAUAAAAUUUGAAUAAAACUUUAUAUAAAUUAAAUUUUAAUUUAAAUUCAAAUUCAUAAGUUAGAUUCGAAAUACUUGAUUAAAUUUUAAUUUUUAAUUCAAGUUCAAAUUAAAAUUAAAAAUUAAAAAUUUAAUUUCUAAAUUUAAACUCAUAUUUUAAUUAAAAAAGUUAAAAAAAUAAAUUUAAUCCGAAUAAAUAUUCAUUCCGUCUGGAUUCAACUUCCAAUCCGGCCUCCUAAGCCGGAUUGAAAAAAGAGGUGAUUCAGAAAUUCUCAUUCCACUCGAGAAUCGAAAUCGAAAUCGAAAUGGGACUCACGUGUACCAAACAUCAACAAACGAAUUCGGCCAUUCCGAUUUCGAUUUUAGCGUGAAAAAAAAGCGAACCAAACACGAUCUAGGUGUGUUUGAACCCUGCAACGAUCAAACUA